AGUGAACGCUGGCGGUAGGCCUAACACAUGCAAGUCGAACGGCAGCACAGUAAGAGCUUGCUCUUACGGGUGGCGAGUGGCGGACGGGUGAGGAAUACAUCGGAAUCUACUUUUUCGUGGGGGAUAACGUAGGGAAACUUACGCUAAUACCGCAUACGACCUACGGGUGAAAGCAGGGGAUCUUCGGACCUUGCGCGGUUGAAUGAGCCGAUGUCGGAUUAGCUAGUUGGCGGGGUAAAGGCCCACCAAGGCGACGAGCCGUAGCUGGUCUGAGAGGAUGAUCAGCCACAAUGGAACUGAGACACGGUCCAGACUCCUACGGGAGGCAGCAGUGGGGAAUAUUGGACAAUGGGCGCAAGCCUGAUCCAGCCAUACCGCGUGGGUGAAGAAGGCCUUCGGGUUGUAAAGCCCUUUUGUUGGGAAAGAAAAGCAGCAGGUUAAUACCCCGCUGUUCUGACGGUACCCAAAGAAUAAGCACCGGCUAACUUCGUG
This 492-nucleotide ribosomal RNA is filed under the name uncultured bacterium. RNAcentral describes it as "partial 16S ribosomal RNA". It matches the Rfam family "Bacterial small subunit ribosomal RNA", at positions 29 to 507 of the family's 1533-position model. The record is from RNAcentral.